GACGAACGCUGGCGGCGUGCUUAACACAUGCAAGUCGAACGGAAAGGCCCUGCUUUUGUGGGGUGCUCGAGUGGCGAACGGGUGAGUAACACGUGAGUAACCUGCCCUUGACUUUGGGAUAACUUCAGGAAACUGGGGCUAAUACCGGAUAGGAGCUCCUGCUGCAUGGUGGGGGUUGGAAAGUUUCGGCGGUUGGGGAUGGACUCGCGGCUUAUCAGCUUGUUGGUGGGGUAGUGGCUUACCAAGGCUUUGACGGGUAGCCGACCUGAGAGGGUGACCGGCCACAUUGGGACUGAGAUACGGCCCAGACUCCUACGGGAGGCAGCAGUGGGGAAUAUUGCACAAUGGGCGGAAGCCUGAUGCAGCAACGCCGCGUGCGGGAUGAAGGCCUUCGGGUUGUAAACCGCUUUCGCCUGUGACGAAGCGUGAGUGACGGUAAUGGGUAAAGAAGCACCGGCUAACUACGUG
RNAcentral lists this ribosomal RNA (468 nucleotides) under uncultured bacterium. RNAcentral describes it as "partial 16S ribosomal RNA". It matches the Rfam family "Bacterial small subunit ribosomal RNA", at positions 28 to 507 of the family's 1533-position model. The record is from RNAcentral.